This 449-nucleotide ribosomal RNA is filed under the name uncultured bacterium. RNAcentral describes it as "partial 16S ribosomal RNA". It matches the Rfam family "Bacterial small subunit ribosomal RNA", at positions 29 to 523 of the family's 1533-position model. The record is from RNAcentral.
AAUGAACGCUGGCGGCAGGCCUAACACAUGCAAGUCGAACGGAUCCUUCGGGAUUAGUGGCGGACGGGUGAGUAACGCGUGGGAACAUACCCAAAGGUACGGAAUAGCCUCGGGAAACUGGGAGUAAUACCGUAUGUGCUCGAAAGAGGAAAGAUUUAUCGCCUUUGGAUUGGCCCGCGUUGGAUUAGGUAGUUGGUGGGGUAAUGGCCUACCAAGCCGACGAUCCAUAGCUGGUUUGAGAGGAUGAUCAGCCACACUGGGACUGAGACACGGCCCAGACUCCUACGGGAUGCAGCAAUGGGGAAUCUUAGACAAUGGGGGAAACCCUGAUCUAGCCAUGCCGCGUGAUCGAUGAAGGCCUUAGGGUUGUAAAGAUCUUUCAGGUGGGAAGAUAAUGACUGUACCACCAGAAGAAGCCCCGGCUAACUCCGUGCCAGCCGCCGCAGUAA